This 45-nucleotide non-coding RNA is filed under the name Schistosoma mansoni. Lineage: Eukaryota; Metazoa; Platyhelminthes; Trematoda; Strigeidida; Schistosomatidae. The record is from RNAcentral.
AUCCAUCUGAAGAGUCCCAAACCGGAGGAAAUGUGCGUCUUGGAU